Molecule: ribosomal RNA, 392 nt
Filed under: uncultured bacterium
Lineage: Bacteria
Description: partial 16S ribosomal RNA
Rfam family: Bacterial small subunit ribosomal RNA
Source: RNAcentral
AUACGGAGGAUGCGAGCGUUAUUCGGAUUUAUUGGGUUUAAAGGGAGCGUAGGCGGGAGCUUAAGUCAGCGGUUAAAUGGUGCGGCUCAACCGUGCCCUGCCGUUGAAACUGGGUUUCUUGAGAGUGCAAGAGGCGGAUGGAAUUCAUGGUGUAGGGGGGAAAUGCUUAGAUAUCAUGAAGAACUCCGAUUGCGAAGGCAGUCCGCUGGGGCACGUCUGACGCUGAUGCUCGAAGGUGCGGGAAUCAAACAGGAUUAGAUACCCUGGUAGUCCGCACGGUAAACGAUGAUUACCCGCUGUCGGCGGCAGACAGUCGGCGGCCAAGCGAAAGCGAUAAGUAAUCCACCUGGGGAGUACGCCGGCAACGGUGAAACUCAAAUGAAUUGGCGGGG